UUGAAGCAUAUGGAACAUAUUCUGCUACUU
This 30-nucleotide non-coding RNA is filed under the name Macaca fascicularis (crab-eating macaque). The record is from RNAcentral. Lineage: Eukaryota; Metazoa; Chordata; Mammalia; Primates; Cercopithecidae. RNAcentral also lists the same sequence under 1 other name.